Andrographis paniculata is the source of this 4711-nucleotide RNA transcript. It is a transcript of the gene named beta-amylase 8, with no coding region annotated. The record is from RefSeq and is a predicted model, not a curated record. NCBI's taxonomy places the organism in Eukaryota, Viridiplantae, Streptophyta, Magnoliopsida, Lamiales, Acanthaceae. The transcript is spliced from 11 exons.
UUCUGACAUAAUUUGACGGAUUUGAGAAACUAUAACAAUCACGUUUUCUUGGAAAAAUGAAUGAAAGUGAUUGGAAGAAAAGAAUAUGUUUUCCCGUAAAGAUUUGGGUUGCAGUUGGGAGGCAGGAGAGGACAGCGCCGUGGAAAAAAAUGAGUUCUUUAUUUGACCUACGAAGGCAAAAAAGUGUGACUCUGUUCUUGUCAGAGGAAGUGCCGAUACUGCCCUCGCCUCACCAAAUUGAUGAAAAAGGGGAUUCAUAGAAAUCUGCGGGUGGUUGAGCGAGCGGAGAGAUGCAGCGAAGAUGAACACCAACGCCGAUUCCAUUAACCAGUGUUUCGCAGCCGUUUCUGGAGAUCUGGAUUCUCAACAAUCCCCGCCGCCGCCGUUGUCCGCCCAGUUUCAACUCCAGCGCCGCCCCCGCGGCUUUGCAACCACUAAUUCAAGCAGUAACAACGCCGCUGCUGCUCUCACUUCCGGUUCAAUGAGAAGCAGGAAGGAGAGGGAAAAGGAGAAGGAGCGGACGAAGCUUCGAGAGCGCCACCGUAGAGCUAUUACUAGUAGAAUGCUAGCCGGUCUCCGACAAUACGGAAACUUCCCCCUUCCUGCGCGCGCCGAUAUGAAUGAUGUCAUCGCGGCUCUCGCUCGGGAAGCAGGUUGGACUGUGGAGUCUGAUGGAACCACCUACAAACAAUCAUCCACUCCCCCGAGGCAGCCGCAACCGCAGCCGCCUCGCACUGCUCACCUCAGUUCCAUUCAACAGAACAAUUGUAAUGUUUCUAAUAUGGUGGUUCGAUCAGUUGAAAGCCCACUGUACUCUAGUUCUUUAAAAAAUUGCUCGUUGAGGUCAUCAGCUGACUGUCAACCUUCAGCUCUGAGGCUUGAUGAGGAUUUGUCUCCAGCAUCACUUGAUUCUGUUGCUGCAGACAGAAAUGGAAAGCUGGAAAAAUAUUCGAGUGUGAAUGCAUUAAAUUCUCCUGAAUGCUUAAAGUCAGUUCAGCUUAGGCAUGAUGGUGGCUUGAGUUCCUAUGUCCCUGUGUACGCAAGGCUUGCGGUUGGUUUGAUGAACAAUUAUAGCCAGUUGAUGGAUCUGGAUGGUAUUAAAGAAGAACUACAACAUCUGAAGUCUUUGCAUGUCGAUGGUGUUGUUGUAGAUUGUUGGUGGGGCAUGAUCGAAGCAUGUACACCAAAGAAAUAUGAAUGGACAGGAUACAGGGAACUUUUUGACAUUAUUCAAGAGUUUGGGAUGAAACUUCAAGUGGUAAUGGCUUUUCAUGAAUACAGAGGCCAUGAUUCUAAUGGCACAUUCAUAUCCCUACCCCAGUGGGUUUUAGAGAUUGGGAAAAGCAAUCAAGAUAUAUUCUUUACAGAUCAUGAAGGUGGAAGAAAUAUUGAGUGCCUUUCAUGGGGCAUUGACAAAGAACGUGUACUAAGAGGAAGAACUGGCAUAGAGGUAUAUUUUGACUUCAUAAGAAGCUUCCGAACUGAGUUUGAUGAUUUGUUCACUGGCGGAGUCAUUUCUGCUAUUGAAAUUGGAUUGGGACCUUGUGGCGAGCUAAGAUAUCCUUCUUUUUCAGAUAGGAUGGGCUGGAGAUAUCCUGGUAUUGGUGAGUUUCAGUGUUAUGACAAAUAUUUGAUGCGAAAUCUUGAAAAAGCUGCAAAACUCUGUGGACAUCCCAUUUGGGCCAGGGGACCUGAUAAUGCUGGCUAUUAUAAUGCUAAACCAUCUGAAACUGGAUUCUUCAGCGAACAUGGUGAUUACGAAAGCUACUACGGACGCUUCUUCCUGCAUUGGUAUGCUCAAGUCUUGAUCGACCAUGCCGACAAUGUUCUCUCUCUUGCAAGUCUUGCACUUGAGGAAACACAGAUUGUUGUUCAGAUUCCAGCUGUUUACUGGUGGUACAAGACGACGAGCCAUGCCGCAGAGCUCACCGCUGGCUAUUAUAACCCUUGUAAUCAGGAUGGAUAUUCCUGGUUGUUUCAAGUGCUGAAAAAACAUGCUGUGACCAUUAAGUUCGACUUUUCAGGGUAUCAGCCAGUGCAUCAGGAUGCCGAUGAGGCAUUGUCGGAUCCUGAUGCUCUGAACUGGCAGGUUCUUAACUCAGCCUGGGAUCAAGGCCUUAGCGUCGCUGGUCAAAAUGUGUACUCAUGCAGCUGUGAUAGUGAAGGAUUUGUGAAGCUAGUCGAGACAGCAAGACCAAAAAACCAUCCCGACGGCAAGCACUUCGCCUUCUUUGUGCUUCAACAGCCUGCAUUUAUUGAAAGAAGCAUUGGCUUCUCAGAGAUGGAUGGCUUUAUUAAAAGCAUGCACGGAAAGGAGAUGUAGGUUACUGAAAAUUCAAAUGUUUGUAUUAUAUAUCACAAUAUUUGAUCUCAAGUGUGAAUUCUUUGGGAGAAAUUUGAGUUUGUUUAUAUUAUACUAUGUAGCAAAUGGAAUUUAUAUCACAGUAAAUUAUUGCUUCUAUGCCAUUGCCACGGUUUGCGCCAUUAAUUCAAUGAGCCACUGUUACACCGAUAUCUCAGAAAAUUUGAAUUCUCAACAAUCCUCGCUGCCCUCUGGAGAAUUUCAACCCCAGCGCAGCCACAUGGCUUUUCAGUACUAAUUAUAGCAGUAGCAAAUGCUCCAACCAGCAGCGCUUCUGGUUCGAUGGGACUCUGGGAGAGGGAAAGGAGAAGCGGACGAAGCUUCGAGAAGACAUGUGUGUUCUGUGUUUGUACUAUCAAUGACAUAAACAAGAAGGUUCUCCUUUCAAGUUCUUCAUGAUGUAUGGAGAAUUGCUGGAUACAUGGACCAGGCAUUGAGGUACAACAAUCUAUUCUGUUUUAUAUUUAGUUUCAUAUUGAUAAUAUUCCUACCAAAUUUACUGAUAGGUAAAAUUUUCUUAUUAAUGUGGUUCGAGCUGUGGAUAUGGUAUAUGAGGUUUUAAUCGAAACACGUGUACGACAAAGGGAUAAAAUGAUUUGCUUUCAAAAAAUCAGUCUACUGCCACUUUUGUGUCAGCUUUCUUGAAAGUCUAAAGAAUACAAAGAAGCUGCAUUUUAAUUGACCUUAAAAGUAGCCAAUUGACUUGGAUAAGGGUCACAAAAUUCUUUGUAUUUUCAUAUUCUUUAUGACUACAUUGGACAAAGGCACUAUGGUUAGCAUUUCUCACAUGGCACAAUAUCAUUUGUGCAAAAAGAAAAUGUAUAUCCUCUUGUGUUAUGUGCAUUUGUUGUUGUGUGUUUGCUUGGGGGUUUGGAUUUUGAGUUGGGAUUUGAAUAGUAAAAAUUUUGAAUUUAAAUAGUUGUAUGAUGUGAUAUAAAUAGGUGUUGAUGUGAUGUUUUGAAUGUAAAAUUGAUUUUUAGUAUAAUAUAAAAAAUGAAAAAUAGGUGUUUGAUUUGAUAUUUUUUGGGGGAAAAAAAUGAAUGAAUAAUAUAAAUCCAAUCCAAUCCCCCCAAACAAACACACUUUAUGAUCCAUGAAAUUGACAUAUUGCUUUCCUUAUUUGACUGGUGGAACGUUGGAACGGGUUGGUUGAUUAUUUUUAGUUGGUGGGCUCACCCACACGCGUGCAUGUACUAAACAAUACAGCAAUCAAAAGUUUAGUCUUCCAUAGUAGCCAAUUUUUGUGUACAUUAACUAAAUAGGCCAGGUUGUAUGCAUAUGUAGCCAUCCCAUAUUUGUAUGAAUGACUAGCUAACUUGUCUAUUCACAAGUAUAUGUAUAUAUGAGACUGCUGAUAAAAUAUUCCAUUGCUUGGUAUAUCUCAUUCAAAUUCCAAGAUGGGUAUUUUCUUUUCUUUUCUUUUUACCCCCUAAAGCUACCCCAAUAUACACACUGUUAGAUGAUUUUUGUCAUAGUGGGGCUUAUGUGAUGUCACAACAUCCAUUUUUCUUCAAAAUUUUGAUCUGACUGAUACAUUGAAUUUUGACGUGUUAGGGAAGCCCUUGUGAUUAUAAUAUAAACUAAUUCCCAUAUCAACCACAGGGAGGAAAAACGAAGAGUAGUAAGAUAUUAGCAUACAUUCUAUUUGAGGAAUAAUGUCGUAUUUUGAUCUUAGAUAUGGCUUUCUAUUGGCAAUCAACAUUGUGAAGGCACAAGUGGCCUUGCCAUGGGAAUGGGAUCCAUUUGACUUGGCAAGUGAUUUCACUUGGUCGAAAUUUUGGCUGCUCUUUGUUAUUUUUUCAAUUUUCUCAUUUGUUUCGAUUAGAAUUCCACUGUCCCCUCUCAACACUAUGAGCUAUGUUCGUAUUCAAGUUAAGAACUUCUCUUCAUCGUUCAUGAUUUCUUUCUUUACUCUACUCUUCACCCCACAGACUCUCUUUUGGUACAUUUAUCCCUUGUUUAUGUUGCUCCUUCUGUGCAGCACUUGUCUUGGGAAUGUAUUUAGGAGUUUUAAAUAUUGGGUGCAAGCUAUGCUUUCUAUAGUGCCUGAUUUGAACAUAUUUGUAACUGCAACAAAUGGCAUUGGUAGUGAAGAAGACGAUGAGGGACCAAAUCUUGAAGAGGGUAGAGGGCAAGUUUAAUGUUGAGUGAACUAAAAAAAGUCGAGCUUUUUUUGUUAUAUCGUAGUUUAUAUUUUCGUAGUUAAUAUGUUUGUACCUAUUUUGAGUUAGCUAAGAUGUUGAGCUUUAAGAAGCAAUGGUGGAAGCAUCCUUGUAUUAGGAAACUUUGAAUCAUUCACUAUGUAAUGUAAUAAACACAUGUUUACUUAAUGCUCAGACCUCUGACCUC